Venturia canescens is the source of this 508-nucleotide long non-coding RNA. RefSeq lists it as uncharacterized. The record is from RefSeq and is a predicted model, not a curated record. The transcript is spliced from 2 exons. Lineage: Eukaryota; Metazoa; Arthropoda; Insecta; Hymenoptera; Ichneumonidae.
UCAAAAAAAAAACAAUUCUACCGGAAGAUUCGAGUGUAUUCACGUUUCAAUCAUGACAUUUUUCGCUUCUCUACUCGUCCUCAACACUAGUUGACGCGCAGUCCUCCGAGACUUCACGUUGAACGAUAAAUUCGAUUGCUGAGCUCUUACUGAUCCCUGGGUGACAAACACCCCCUUAAAUAGCCAAAAUUGGAGACAUGGGCGAGGGACCGCCCUCGCAGAGAUUCGAGCAUCGACCGAUCGGUGUACGUGCCAAAUUCAUGCAAGCACACGCAAGAGUGGGGAGGCCUUAUCCACGUAACGAUUAAUUAAUCGCAUUUCUCGAAGCGAGAAUUGAUUUUGCUUUACAUACGAUUUUCGUAUCACGCAUGCCGACGCGCGUUUGCCUGAGCACGAACAAUUAUGAAAAUUACGGUCUCCCAAAAUUCAAUGUAAUUAUCAAGCGAUUCAAAAUUAUUGCCUUUGUACACAGUCGCAAUGUAAAUAAAAAUCGUUCAUUCGUGUUUUA